AACACCACAGCAGUGCAGGUUGUUGAUUUCUGACCACAAUGGAGCUCGAGAAGAGUGCAACUGAGAUUCAUUCUCACGCUGUUGACUUUUUUCCCCCUCUACAUCUUGAGGAAAUGACCAUGAAAUUAAUUUUUGCAACUUUGGACUCGCUUUGCCUCGCUCCAUACGGGAACAAAAUUUCAAGCAGAAAUCUUUGGUUUCUUCAAUGAAACUUAGGGAUUGAAGAAGCUUCGAUUGUUGAUUUGGAGUUCAAGGAUUAAUUCAAGAAACUCCAGAGACUCGGCGGUGGAAAGAAACUGGUGGCCAAGAUGAUGUUUAAGAAAUGGGAUUGAAGCUGUCAAAGGACAAACGAAGCAAACUCCUGGCAGGGAGAAAGGCCUUGCCCUCUGUUUCAGCUGAACCAACGAAGCUUUCAAUUCAGUGUGUGGACAACCAAGCUGGGUUACGCGGCGUGGUUAGUAAUGAAAAAGACGACUUCUCCAUGUCUAAUCCAUCAUGUGAAGACGUCCCUCAGGACAAUGACGGAGAAGGUGUAAAUUGCUAAAUUAGCCAUUUAGCAAAUAUGUACACUAUCGAUAUUUAAAACACUUGCGGUCCUGCAUUAAAUGUAUUUUCUGAAACUAAA
Molecule: long non-coding RNA, 625 nt
Organism: Neoarius graeffei (lesser salmon catfish)
Lineage: Eukaryota; Metazoa; Chordata; Actinopteri; Siluriformes; Ariidae
Exons: 4
Source: RefSeq, a predicted model, not a curated record